Non-coding RNA from Acanthosepion pharaonis, 115 nucleotides. The record is from the annotation of a GenBank genome assembly. Lineage: Eukaryota; Metazoa; Mollusca; Cephalopoda; Sepiida; Sepiidae.
UUACGGCCACGUCACUUUGAAAGACCGGUUCCAGUACGAUCACCGAAGUUAAGCAACAUCGAGCCUGGGCAGUUCCUAGAUGGUUGACAGGUUAGGAAUACAAGGUGUUGUAAGC